Molecule: ribosomal RNA, 253 nt
Filed under: uncultured bacterium
Lineage: Bacteria
Description: partial 16S ribosomal RNA
Rfam family: Bacterial small subunit ribosomal RNA
Source: RNAcentral
UACGUAGGGACCGAGCGUUGUCCGGAAUCAUUGGGCGUAAAGAGCGUGUAGGCGGUCCGGUAAGUCGGCUGUGAAAGUCCAAGGCUCAACCUUGGGAUGCCGGUCGAUACUGCCGGACUAGAGUUCGGAAGAGGCGAGUGGAAUUCCCGGUGUAGCGGUGAAAUGCGCAGAUAUCGGGAGGAACACCUAUGGCGAAGGCAGCUCGCUGGGACGUUACUGACGCUGAGACGCGAAAGCGUGGGGAGCAAACAGG